Molecule: transfer RNA, 77 nt
Filed under: Rhodospirillum sp.
Lineage: Bacteria; Pseudomonadati; Pseudomonadota; Alphaproteobacteria; Rhodospirillales; Rhodospirillaceae
Also listed under: 9 other names
Description: tRNA-Pro
Rfam family: tRNA
About the family: Transfer RNA (tRNA) molecules are approximately 80 nucleotides in length. Their secondary structure includes four short double-helical elements and three loops (D, anti-codon, and T loops). Further hydrogen bonds mediate the characteristic L-shaped molecular structure. tRNAs have two regions of fundamental functional importance: the anti-codon, which is responsible for specific mRNA codon recognition, and the 3' end, to which the tRNAs corresponding amino acid is attached (by aminoacyl-tRNA synthetases). tRNAs cope with the degeneracy of the genetic code in two manners: having more than one tRNA (with a specific anti-codon) for a particular amino acid; and 'wobble' base-pairing, i.e. permitting non-standard base-pairing at the 3rd anti-codon position.
Source: RNAcentral
CGGGGUGUAGCUCAGCCUGGUAGAGUACCUGCUUUGGGAGCAGGGUGUCGCUGGUUCGAAUCCAGUCACCCCGACCA